This 253-nucleotide ribosomal RNA is filed under the name uncultured bacterium. RNAcentral's name for it is "partial 16S ribosomal RNA". It matches the Rfam family "Bacterial small subunit ribosomal RNA", at positions 524 to 776 of the family's 1533-position model. The record is from RNAcentral.
GACGAAGGGGGCUAGCGUUGUUCGGAAUUACUGGGCGUAAAGCGCGUGUAGGCGGUUAUCCAAGUCGGGUGUGAAAGCCUUGAGCUCAACUCAAGAAAUGCACUCGGUACUGGGUGACUAGAGGACCGGAGAGGAUAGUGGAAUUCCCAGUGUAGUGGUGAAAUACGUAGAGAUUGGGAAGAACACCAGUGGCGAAGGCGGCUAUCUGGACGGUUUCUGACGCUAAGACGCGAAAGCGUGGGGAGCAAACGGG